This is a non-coding RNA of Hippocampus zosterae (dwarf seahorse), 74 nucleotides long. The record is from the annotation of a RefSeq genome assembly. Lineage: Eukaryota; Metazoa; Chordata; Actinopteri; Syngnathiformes; Syngnathidae.
GCCUCGUUAGCGCAGUAGGUAGCGCGUCAGUCUCAUAAUCUGAAGGUCAUGAGUUCAACCUCUCAUACGGGGCA